GCGGGUAUAGUUUAAUGGUAGAACUUCAGCCCUCCAAGCUGACUGUGAGGGUUCGAUUCCCUUUACCCGCUCCA
This 74-nucleotide transfer RNA is filed under the name Acholeplasmataceae bacterium. Its description in RNAcentral is "tRNA-Gly". It matches the Rfam family "tRNA". From Rfam's summary of the family: Transfer RNA (tRNA) molecules are approximately 80 nucleotides in length. Their secondary structure includes four short double-helical elements and three loops (D, anti-codon, and T loops). Further hydrogen bonds mediate the characteristic L-shaped molecular structure. tRNAs have two regions of fundamental functional importance: the anti-codon, which is responsible for specific mRNA codon recognition, and the 3' end, to which the tRNAs corresponding amino acid is attached (by aminoacyl-tRNA synthetases). tRNAs cope with the degeneracy of the genetic code in two manners: having more than one tRNA (with a specific anti-codon) for a particular amino acid; and 'wobble' base-pairing, i.e. permitting non-standard base-pairing at the 3rd anti-codon position. The record is from RNAcentral. Lineage: Bacteria; Bacillati; Mycoplasmatota; Mollicutes; Acholeplasmatales; Acholeplasmataceae. RNAcentral also lists the same sequence under 1 other name.